This is a long non-coding RNA of Raphanus sativus (radish), 455 nucleotides long. RefSeq lists it as uncharacterized. Lineage: Eukaryota; Viridiplantae; Streptophyta; Magnoliopsida; Brassicales; Brassicaceae. The record is from RefSeq and is a predicted model, not a curated record. The transcript has 2 exons.
UUUUGUGUUUUAGGCUCGAUGGUCUAGCUGUGCUUUACGUGUUUUGUGCUUGUCUUUGUUUAUUCUUGAUGCCUGUGAUGGUGUUAAAUAUACUUUGAGAGAUUAAUCUCUAGGAAAAAGAAAUCGAAUCUGAGAUUUUUAUUGAUGAUUAUCACCGAGCCGAGUAUCACCAAUGUCUUACGCUAACAGUAAAUUGUUAAAGACAUGAGUUGUGUCUGCUUAUUUGCAUUGAAGGUUUGUUCUGUUCUAGCUCUUCUUGCAACCCCUCUUGCAGGAAACUUCACGUGACAAAUGAAGCUGACAGCUAUCUAGUAACAAGAUUCUGAAGGGGAUUUAAGUUUUUUUUGUAUGUUGAGAGAUAUUAUUCCAUGGCUAUGUAUUUCAUAUUGAAUUGUAAUCACAUAUUGCAGAACAUUUGUUCUCUUUGAAUAUAAUCGAUAGUUCAAUAUCAUUAA